Molecule: long non-coding RNA, 1662 nt
Organism: Belonocnema kinseyi
Lineage: Eukaryota; Metazoa; Arthropoda; Insecta; Hymenoptera; Cynipidae
Exons: 5
Source: RefSeq, a predicted model, not a curated record
UAAAAGAUAAAGGAGUGGUACAAUUCAUAAAUUAAUUAAACUAGUUUGAAAAUAAUGCAAUUUGUGCCAUUGAUAAUAAAAUAUUAAAAAAAUGUAUAACUACUAAUCAUUGUAAUGUAGAAAAAUACGACGAAAUAUGGUUGACAUAACCUUUCAAUGCACCUGGGGAAUGUUACCUUUUCACGCAAAUGAAAUGCAGUAUCAUCAACUAAAGAGAAAAAAAAUAACAUUGUUUUGUGUCUGAAAGCAGAAAUAGGUGCAGGCUGACCACGAACGCCAUUUCUACUCAGACAAAAUGGUUUCAAAGUUCGUGAUGAGCACCGCUUGUUCAAGGAUUGUAGUGUCUCUAGGAACCAGUAGAUAGCUGCAGACAUGACAAAUGCAAGUAUCUUUUUGUCUCCGAAUUCGGAAGGAAAUCUUGCCCUCCGCCCAAAAACAACUUCGUGAGGAGUCAUGCCAGUGGAUUCGUGAACAGAAGUAUUAAAGGACAAAAUGGCAAACGGAAGCCAUUGGUCCCAGUUACUCCGCUCACUGUAAUUACGUUCGAGAGUUUAAUUAUGGAAUGGUUUAGCAAUUCCCUACCCAGGGGUGUAGUAAGCACCCCAUCGCAUGACAUGAAAUUCAAGAUAUUAUCAUCUCUCAUCCAAAGUUUAUCUCGACUCAACUGAAAUAACGGAUUAAAACGUCAUCAUCAGAAUUUUCAGCAAAAAACUCAACAUCGGUACUUCCUUGAAGACAGGUGCCCAUAGGAUGCAACCUUCUUCUAAACUCAACAUCCGUAGUUCCUUGAAGACAGGUGCCCAUAGGACGCAACCUUCUUCUUGGGGACAGGAUUCCACAGUAAGCGGUACCUUCCCCACUCGGAAUGGAAGAUCCGACGCCAAAACUGGCCAUCUCUCUCCCCCUUCCGUUGUGGUCUAAUAAAAGCUCUGCGGGUACGUUCUCACCUUCCGCGUGGCCAGCUGGUCCACCAAAUACCCCCUCUGGAAGACAGGUGCCCAUAGGACGCAACCUUCUUCCCGGGGACCAUGCCUUCUCCAUCAAGGACACCUCCCCUUGGGACCGGACACCACAGUAAGCGGUUCCUUCCCUUUGGGACAGGCAACCACAGUAAGCAGUUCCUUCCCUUCUCGAAAUGGAAGAGCAGAAGCCAAAGCUGGCCAUCUCUCUUCCCAUUCCGUCAGCCUCUUUUUCAUUCAAGCGCUUUCUUCCGGAGGUCCCAAAGCCCCGUGCCCUUACCGCACUUCCGUAAUCAGGUAGGAGAGGGGAGGUCUGUGUGCUCGUCUCACUGCCACCCGCACCCGGCGUUCCCCCAUGGCCAUUGAGUGACCCAGAAACAGGUGUAAUGCAGAGAACCGAAUUGCACCCCUCCGAAACUUGCGCAUCAGUUUCUGCCUCAUCUCCACCCUGGCGGGGCCCGGACCAGCCGGAGCUAGGCUGGGAUAUAGAGAUCACCACCUUCACACAAUCACUUGAACUUGGGGCUACAUUUCCCAUCGAGAUCAAAAUGUCUCCAACAUCUGAGACCGAACUGUCUCUACUUUUCUCAGCAAUUUCUUCAUUUACAUCUAUCUCAGCACUUUCUACCAUUUCAUUACAAAGGUUACCAUAAGUAACUUCCAUAUUAGAGUAACAAUAAUCAACAAAAGCUCUUUCUAUAGG